Molecule: ribosomal RNA, 458 nt
Filed under: uncultured bacterium
Lineage: Bacteria
Description: partial 16S ribosomal RNA
Rfam family: Bacterial small subunit ribosomal RNA
Source: RNAcentral
CCUACGGGUGGCAGCAGUGAGGAAUAUUGGUCAAUGGGCGUGAGCCUGAACCAGCCAAGUCGCGUGAGGGAAGAAGGUACUUAGUAUUGUAAACUUCUUUUGUCGGGAACAAAAGCGGAGACGCGUCUCCGUAUGGGUGUACCCGGAGAAAAAGCAUCGGGUAACUCCGUGCCAGCAGCCGGGGUAAUACGGAGGAUGCGAGCGUUAUCCGGAUUUAUUGGGGUUAAAGGGUGCGCAGGCGGGAGAUCAAGUCAGCGGUAAAAUGUCGGGGCUCAACCCCGGCCGGCCGUUGAAACUGGUUUUCUAGAGUGGGAGAGAAGUAUGCGGAAUGCGUGGUGUAGCGGUGAAAUGCAUAGAUAUCACGAAGAACCCCGAUUGCGAAGGCAGCAUACCGGCGCCAUACUGACGCUGAGGCACGAAAGCGUGGGGAUCGAACAGGAUUAGAUACCCGAGUAGUC